UUCCUGGUGGUCCAGUGGGUAAGACUCUGUGCUUUCGAAGCAGGGGGCCCAGGUUCGAUCCCUGGUCGGGGAA
This is a non-coding RNA of Eubalaena glacialis (North Atlantic right whale), 73 nucleotides long. Lineage: Eukaryota; Metazoa; Chordata; Mammalia; Artiodactyla; Balaenidae. The record is from the annotation of a RefSeq genome assembly.